RNAcentral lists this ribosomal RNA (253 nucleotides) under uncultured bacterium. Its description in RNAcentral is "partial 16S ribosomal RNA". It matches the Rfam family "Bacterial small subunit ribosomal RNA", at positions 524 to 776 of the family's 1533-position model. The record is from RNAcentral.
UACGGAGGGUGCAAGCGUUAUCCGGAUUCACUGGGUUUAAAGGGUGCGUAGGCGGGCAGGUAAGUCCGUGGUGAAAUCUCUGAGCUUAACUCAGAAACUGCCAUGGAUACUAUUUGUCUUGAAUAUUGUGGAGGUGAGCGGAAUAUGUCAUGUAGCGGUGAAAUGCUUAGAUAUGACAUAGAACACCGAUUGCGAAGGCAGCUCGCUAAACUUAUAUUGACGCUGAGGCACGAAAGCGUGGGGAUCAAACAGG